This 222-nucleotide long non-coding RNA is filed under the name Elaeis guineensis (African oil palm). RNAcentral describes it as "long non-coding RNA (EGUI_LNC028229)". Lineage: Eukaryota; Viridiplantae; Streptophyta; Magnoliopsida; Arecales; Arecaceae. The record is from RNAcentral.
CUCUAAAAUAUGAUUUUAUCAUUGAAAAUAAUAAUGAAAUCAACAUCAUUAAGGAUGAUGAUCUACUGACCUAUUCGAAAGCUGUCAUAAGUAGAGACUCAGACAGGUGGCUAGACAAUAUGAAAUCUGAAAUAAAUUCAAUAUAUACCAACCAAGUGUAGACUUUGAUUGAUGCACCUGAGGGUGUGACUCCAAUAGGGUAUAAGUGAGUCUUUAAGAAGA